GAUGAAGAACGUAGCGAAAUGCGAUACUUGGUAUGAAUUGCAGAAUCCCGUGAACCAUCGAGUCUUUGAACGCAAGUUGCGCCCGAAGCCAUUAGGCCGAGGGCACGCCUGCCUGGGUGUCACACGUCGUUGCCCCCCCAUCUACUCCUUCGGGAUUGCGGGGGGCGGAUGAUGGCCUCCCGUGCGCCUCGUCGCGCGGUUGGCAUAAAUGCCAAGUCCUCGGCGACGCACGCCACGACAAUCGGUGGUUGCGAAACCUCGGUUGCCCGUCGUGUGCGGUCGUCGCGCAUCGAGGGCUCGAAAAAAUUGCCGGGCUCCGGCUCGGCUUUCAACGCGACCCCAGGUCAGGCGGGGUUACCCGCUGAAUUUAAGCAUAUCAAUAAGCGGAGGA
RNAcentral lists this unclassified non-coding RNA (391 nucleotides) under soil metagenome. Its description in RNAcentral is "partial contains 5.8S ribosomal RNA, internal transcribed spacer 2, and large subunit ribosomal RNA". The stretch from base 1 to 122 matches the Rfam family "5.8S ribosomal RNA", at positions 35 to 154 of the family's 154-position model. The record is from RNAcentral.